This 253-nucleotide unclassified non-coding RNA is filed under the name uncultured bacterium. RNAcentral describes it as "contains 16S-23S intergenic spacer region". It matches the Rfam family "Bacterial small subunit ribosomal RNA", at positions 524 to 776 of the family's 1533-position model. The record is from RNAcentral.
UACGUAGGGUCCAAGCGUUACUCGGAUUUACUGGGCGUAAAGCGUGUGUAGGCGGUCUGUUAAGCGGGGUGUGAAAUCUUGAGGCUCAACCUUAAGACUGUGCCCCGAACUGGCAGACUCGAGUACUGAAGAGGUUAGCGGAAUUAGUAGUGUAGGGGUGAAAUCCGUAGAUAUUACUAAGAACACCAAUGGCGAAGGCAGCUAACUGGGCAGUCACUGACGCUAAGACACGAAAGCGUGGGGAGCGAACGGG